Meleagris gallopavo (turkey) is the source of this 976-nucleotide non-coding RNA. The record is from RefSeq and is a predicted model, not a curated record. Lineage: Eukaryota; Metazoa; Chordata; Aves; Galliformes; Phasianidae.
AGAGAAAGUAAAAGUCAAUGCUGGAAUGAAGAUGAGGGCAGAAUUAAGGCCAAUGUCUUACAUCAUCCAUAUACUAACUACGAUUAAUCCAUGAUGCUUUUAAGAUACAGGUGAAGAACACAUCCUGUUCCAAACCCAUGUUCCCAACCCAUGCCUAAACCCAGUGGCACCUGUAUGGCUGAACAGAUUCUGUACUACGUGAAUAAUACAGUAAUAUGCAAAUGGAUGUACAAAAAUGUGUUUUGGGAAAAUCCUGUUUUGUGAUGAGGAAAAGGAACAAGAACAAUAUUUCCCUUUCCUUGAAUUCAGCUGUCAGAUCUUCACAGCAGUAUGUUACGCGAGAAGAAGAAAAUGAAACCAGUUCCACUGAAGAGAUCUCUUGGACCGCUCACACUGUGCCAGGCCCUGAGUGCACCACCGGGCCUGGCUGUCCCUCCCAAUCCCAGUGGGAUCUCCAGCACCCCAUUUCAGCCCUAGAGGCCUCCUCCAAGCACAGGCUUCUACAUCUGCUCGGGGUCACCAUUCUCUGCCCCAUUGAGGCUGCAGCAGGGCUAGGCAACAGCCAUGGCUUUUGCCCAGCUGUCCUGUCCCUGCCUUGGCCAUGCCCAGCCCUGUCCGUGGGGAUGUGUCUGGUGCCAGGGCUGGAGAUGCUCAGAUCUGGCAGGGGCAGCAGGAGAGGAUGGGCUGCCUGGACCUGCACUGAGCUCCACUGUAGUCCACAGGCAGACCCCAGCCCUGUGAAAAUAUGGCUGUUGGAUCUAAUGUGCUCCAGGCUUGGGAAGCUGCUGUAUAUGUCCCUCUGCAUGCCUACAGACACACCAGACAACUUGUGCUCUUCCCCUUCCUAUCUUUAAAUUUAUGUCUCCUGAAGCUGCUGUUUGCAACACCACAGGCUGCCCAGUAGAGUCACCAUCCCUGAAGGUUUUCAAGUAAAGGGUAGAUGUGGCACUGAGGGACAUGGUUAGUGGGAAUAGUG